UGCAGAAAUUAUCACUACUAAACGGGAAUUUGGUUGCAAAUAAAUAGAAAGUCAUUUAUUUGGGGUAUAAAAUUCGGAAAUUUUAUCAAAAAAUUAUCUCCCUUUGUGGAACUCUCAUGGGAAGAAGGUAGGGAAGAAUGAUUCAUAAGGCAGAUGACAACAACAUGGAAUGGGUGGAAAGUGAUGGGAAAUAAAUUUAUAGCCUUGGUGAAAAUUACAAGGAAAGAGGGAGUCUAUUUACAUCAGGGUUGCAAGAAGUAUACUUCAGCACACCUGAGAUUUUUAAAUGUCCAUCAGAAAUUGUGUGAAUUCCAGAAUCAUUGUUCACUGCACUGCACAGCUGAUGUGCAUUAACUAUGAUCUAGACUUAACAGACAUCAUCAUGCCUAUGCCAAUCAUGGACAUUGACUUUGAAUAAAGAACAACAUGUUGUCACCCAUUACAUGACAAAUCUAACUCAUAUGUGAAAGGGGGGGGGGUUAACUCCAAAGCCGAUAGAUCUGCCACAUUGCUCAAGCUGCCAUUGAUUCUGGUAAGUUAUUUUUUUUUUCAUCUUCCUGCACUAACAGAUAUUGAAUUAUGCAUAAAUACUCAUGGAUGAAUUUUUUUUAAUUUUUACUUCUAUUUGAAAUUUUCAAGAUAUCAAUUUCCUCAAUGCACAAUUUUCUAGAUUAAAAUACUGUUACAACAUAUUUAGGGAAUAUAAUGAAAUUUUAAUAUAUGUGUUUUGUGUUUGCAGACAAGACAAUAUAUUGAGAAAUACAAAAGUUGUGUCCAGAUUAAGACAGAUGUAAAGAAAGAGUUGAAAGAUGUUUUCUGAAGUGAGACAGCCAUACUCCUGCUUUCCAAGGAACCAAACAAUUACUUUCCUUGUAUUGACAUGGUGAAAAAUGGGGAGGGUCCAGAAAAUGACGAAGACCUCCAGAAUGUCAUCAGUGAUAUUGUUGCAAUUGAAUGUAGCCAAUUAUUAUCCAAUAUAAAUUAUCUAUGACUGAACUCAUAAGUGGUUAAGGAAAACUGUUUUAAUUUUUAUUCUUGCAAAAAAGAAUUGCAAUGAUUAAAUCUGUAUGUUUAUAAUG
Ostrea edulis (European flat oyster) is the source of this 1079-nucleotide long non-coding RNA. RefSeq lists it as uncharacterized. The record is from RefSeq and is a predicted model, not a curated record. The transcript is spliced from 2 exons. Lineage: Eukaryota; Metazoa; Mollusca; Bivalvia; Ostreida; Ostreidae.